This 942-nucleotide ribosomal RNA is filed under the name Ferdinandcohnia humi. RNAcentral's name for it is "bacterial SSU rRNA". It matches the Rfam family "Bacterial small subunit ribosomal RNA", at positions 41 to 968 of the family's 1533-position model. The record is from RNAcentral. Lineage: Bacteria; Bacillati; Bacillota; Bacilli; Caryophanales; Bacillaceae.
GGCNGCCUAUACAUGCAGUCGAAGCGGAUCUUUGGAAAGCUUGCUCCCAAAGGUUAGCGGCGGACGGGUGAGUAACACGUGGGCAACCUACCUAUAAGACUGGGAUAACUUCGGGAAACCGGAGCUAAUACCGGAUAAUAUAAGGAAUCACAUGAUUUUUUAUUGAAAGAUGGCUUCGGCUAUCACUUAUAGAUGGGCCCGCGGCGCAUUAGCUAGUUGGUGAGGUAACGGCUCACCAAGGCGACGAUGCGUAGCCGACCUGAGAGGGUGAUCGGCCACACUGGGACUGAGACACGGCCCAGACUCCUACGGGAGGCAGCAGUAGGGAAUCUUCCGCAAUGGACGAAAGUCUGACGGAGCAACGCCGCGUGAGUGAUGAAGGCCUUCGGGUCGUAAAACUCUGUUGUUAGGGAAGAACAAGUAUCGUUCGAAUAGGGCGGUACCUUGACGGUACCUAACCAGAAAGCCACGGCUAACUACGUGCCAGCAGCCGCGGUAAUACGUAGGUGGCAAGCGUUGUCCGGAAUUAUUGGGCGUAAAGCGCGCGCAGGUGGUCCUUUAAGUCUGAUGUGAAAGCCCACGGCUCAACCGUGGAGGGUCAUUGGAAACUGGGGGACUUGAGUACAGAAGAGGAAAGUGGAAUUCCACGUGUAGCGGUGAAAUGCGUAGAGAUGUGGAGGAACACCAGUGGCGAAGGCGACUUUCUGGUCUGUAACUGACACUGAGGCGCGAAAGCGUGGGGAGCGAACAGGAUUAGAUACCCUGGUAGUCCACGCCGUAAACGAUGAGUGCUAAGUGUUAGAGGGUUUCCGCCCUUUAGUGCUGCAGCUAACGCAUUAAGCACUCCGCCUGGGGAGUACGGUCGCAAGACUGAACUCAAGGAAUUGACGGGGGCCCGCACAAGCGGUGGAGCAUGUGGUUUAAUUCGAAGCACGCGAGAAC